UGGGGAAUUUUGGACAAUGGGCGAAAGCCUGAUCCAGCAAUGCCGCGUGUGUGAAGAAGGCCUUCGGGUUGUAAAGCACUUUUGUCCGGAAAGAAAUCCUUGGCUCUAAUACAGUCGGGGGAUGACGGUACCGGAAGAAUAAGCACCGGCUAACUACGUGCCAGCAGCCGCGGUAAUACGUAGGGUGCAAGCGUUAAUCGGAAUUACUGGGCGUAAAGCGUGCGCAGGCGGUUUGCUAAGACCGAUGUGAAAUCCCCGGGCUCAACCUGGGAACUGCAUUGGUGACUGGCAGGCUAGAGUAUGGCAGAGGGGGGUAGAAUUCCACGUGUAGCAGUGAAAUGCGUAGAGAUGUGGAGGAAUACCGAUGGCGAAGGCAGCCCCCUGGGCCAAUACUGACGCUCAUGCACGAAAGCGUGGGGGAGCAAACAGGAUUAGAUACCCCUGGUAGUCCACGCCCUAAACGAUGUCAACUAGUUGUUGGGGAUUCAUUUCCUUAGUAACGUAGCUAACGCGUGAAGUUGACCGCCU
This 528-nucleotide ribosomal RNA is filed under the name uncultured bacterium. Its description in RNAcentral is "partial 16S ribosomal RNA". It matches the Rfam family "Bacterial small subunit ribosomal RNA", at positions 355 to 874 of the family's 1533-position model. The record is from RNAcentral.